RNAcentral lists this ribosomal RNA (386 nucleotides) under Enterococcus casseliflavus. Its description in RNAcentral is "bacterial SSU rRNA". It matches the Rfam family "Bacterial small subunit ribosomal RNA", at positions 96 to 470 of the family's 1533-position model. Lineage: Bacteria; Bacillati; Bacillota; Bacilli; Lactobacillales; Enterococcaceae. The record is from RNAcentral.
UGGCGAACGGGUGAGUAACACGUGGGUAACCUGCCCAUCAGAAGGGGAUAACACUUGGAAACAGGUGCUAAUACCGUAUAACACUAUUUUCCGCAUGGAAGAAAGUUGAAAGGCGCUUUUGCGUCACUGAUGGAUGGACCCGCGGUGCAUUAGCUAGUUGGUGAGGUAACGGCUCACCAAGGCAACGAUGCAUAGCCGACCUGAGAGGGUGAUCGGCCACACUGGGACUGAGACACGGCCCAGACUCCUACGGGAGGCAGCAGUAGGGAAUCUUCGGCAAUGGACGAAAGUCUGACCGAGCAACGCCGCGUGAGUGAAGAAGGUUUUCGGAUCGUAAAACUCUGUUGUUAGAGAAGAACAAGGAUGAGAGUAAAAUGUCAUCCCCU